This 531-nucleotide ribosomal RNA is filed under the name uncultured bacterium. RNAcentral's name for it is "partial 16S ribosomal RNA". It matches the Rfam family "Bacterial small subunit ribosomal RNA", at positions 355 to 874 of the family's 1533-position model. The record is from RNAcentral.
UGGGGAAUAUUGCACAAUGGGCGCAAGCCUGAUGCAGCCAUGCCGCGUGUGUGAAGAAGGCCUUCGGGUUGUAAAGCACUUUCAGCGAGGAGGAAGGUGGUGAGCUUAAUACGCUCAUCAAUUGACGUUACUCGCAGAAGAAGCACCGGCUAACUCCGUGCCAGCAGCCGCGGUAAUACGGAGGGUGCAAGCGUUAAUCGGAAUUACUGGGCGUAAAGCGCACGCAGGCGGUUUGUUAAGUCAGAUGUGAAAUCCCCGGGCUCAACCUGGGAACUGCAUUUGAAACUGGCAAGCUAGAGUCUCGUAGAGGGGGGUAGAAUUCCAGGUGUAGCGGUGAAAUGCGUAGAGAUCUGGAGGAAUACCGGUGGCGAAGGCGGCCCCCUGGACGAAGACUGACGCUCAGGUGCGAAAGCGUGGGGCAGCAAACAGGAUUAGAUACCCUGGUAGUCCACGCUGUAAAACGAUGUCGAUUUUGGAGGUUGUGCCCUUGAGGCGUGGCUUCCGGAGCUAACGCGUUAAAGUCGACCGCCU